Molecule: ribosomal RNA, 429 nt
Filed under: Acidobacteriota bacterium
Lineage: Bacteria; Pseudomonadati; Acidobacteriota
Description: Acidobacteria bacterium partial 16S ribosomal RNA
Rfam family: Bacterial small subunit ribosomal RNA
Source: RNAcentral
UGGGGAAUUUUGGACAAUGGGGGAAACCCUGAUCCAGCCAUCCCGCGUGUGCGAUGAAGGCCUUCGGGUUGUAAAGCACUUUUGGCAGGAAAGAAACGUCAUGGGUUAAUACCCCGUGAAACUGACGGUACCUGCAGAAUAAGCACCGGCUAACUACGUGCCAGCAGCCGCGGUAAUACGUAGGGUGCAAGCGUUAAUCGGAAUUACUGGGCGUAAAGCGUGCGCAGGCGGUUCGGAAAGAAAGAUGUGAAAUCCCAGAGCUCAACUUUGGAACUGCAUUUUUAACUACUGGGCUAGAGUGUGUCAGAGGGAGGUGGAAUUCCGCGUGUAGCAGUGAAAUGCGGAGAUAUGCGGAGGAACACCGAUGGCGAAGGCAGCCUCCUGGGAUAACACUGACGCUCAUGCACGAAAGCGUGGGGAGCAAACAGG